CCACCCUUUAAUGUUUGAUGUUCUAACGUGGACCCGUGAUCCGGGUUGCGGACAGUGUCUGGUGGGUAGUUUGACUGGGGCGGUCUCCUCCUAAAGAGUAACGGAGGAGCACGAAGGUUGGCUAAUCCUGGUCGGACAUCAGGAGGUUAGUGCAAUGGCAUAAGCCAGCUUGACUGCGAGCGUGACGGCGCGAGCAGGUGCGAAAGCAGGUCAUAGUGAUCCGGUGGUUCUGAAUGGAAGGGCCAUCGCUCAACGGAUAAAAGGUACUCCGGGGAUAACAGGCUGAUACCGCCCAAGAGUUCAUAUCGACGGCGGUGUUUGGCACCUCGAUGUCGGCUCAUCACAUCCUGGGGCUGAAGUAGGUCCCAAGGGUAUGGCUGUUCGCCAUUUAAAGUGGUACGCGAGCUGGGUUUAGAACGUCGUGAGACAGUUCGGUCCCUAUCUGCCGUGGGCGCUGGAGAACUGAGGGGGGCUGCUCCUAGUACGAGAGGACCGGAGUGGACGCAUCACUGGUGUUCGGGUUGUCAUGCCAAUGGCACUGCCCGGUAGCUAAAUGCGGAAGAGAUAAGUGCUGAAAGCAUCUAAGCACGAAACUUGCCCCGAG
Molecule: ribosomal RNA, 604 nt
Filed under: Salmonella enterica
Lineage: Bacteria; Pseudomonadati; Pseudomonadota; Gammaproteobacteria; Enterobacterales; Enterobacteriaceae
Also listed under: 1 other name
Description: partial 23S ribosomal RNA
Rfam family: Bacterial large subunit ribosomal RNA
Source: RNAcentral